UACGUAGGGGGCAAGCGUUGUCCGGAAUCAUUGGGCGUAAAGCGCGUGUAGGCGGCUUGGUAAGUCGGGUGUGAAAUCCCGGGGCUCAACCCCGUGACUGCAUUCGAUACUGUCAGGCUAGAGGUAGGUAGGGGAGAUCGGAAUUCCUGGUGUAGCGGUGAAAUGCGCAGAUAUCAGGAGGAACACCGGUGGCGAAGGCGGAUCUCUGGGCCUUACCUGACGCUCAGGCGCGAAAGCUAGGGGAGCGAACAGG
RNAcentral lists this ribosomal RNA (253 nucleotides) under uncultured bacterium. RNAcentral describes it as "partial 16S ribosomal RNA". It matches the Rfam family "Bacterial small subunit ribosomal RNA", at positions 524 to 776 of the family's 1533-position model. The record is from RNAcentral.